GGUUUGUAAGCGUAGAAAGGUACAGCAGUCCGCCAUUACGAGACGAAACUAGAAAACGUUACGUAAGAGAGACGAGAACAGCUGCCACAGAGUGUGGGAGUUUUUCUGUGUCUGGACAUGAGAUGAUGACGAGGGAAUGUGAUCAAGAGCUGAGAUAAUGAGAUAUACAGAAACCUGGAAGGUGUUCACUCGGAUGCUGUGCCGGGAUGCCUGAAGACUGUGCCGUAGUUCCGGUUGCAGGUAAGGAUUCAAGAUUAUCUGCAUCAUCCACAGUUGUGCACAACAGUCUUCAGAUGCAAAAUUUGCAGCUGUAGCUGUAUCUGAUGUAAUGAGGCAGAGUGGGAUAGAUAUUGUAGGAGUUUUCUAAUCCUGGAGCCUGCCUAAAUUGUUGCAUCAUGGCACCUCUGUUACAAAGAGCUAUCAGUUAAUGUCUUUUUAUUGUGAGAAGAAUGUGAAGCAAAUACUCUACAGGGAAAGUGCAAGAGACAUUAGAUAAUCCAUUAGGAGGUACAAAUACAAGUAGUAACCACUGCAUUGUAAAGAGUUUAACAUACAUUCUGUGACACAAUGCAGUUAAUUUUUGAAGUAAAAAAGUGAGCCCUCCAGUUCCAUGAGAGAGUUGUCAUGGUACAGUAAAAUUGUGUUAUCAUUGCAUACAGAAGACAACAUAUGUUAAGGGAGCAGUGAAUUAGGUACUUUUACUCAUAACUUUUAACGUAUUGAGUAAUUUGUAAAUUUUAAAGAAAGAAGAGACAUUAUUAGCUUGAAUGUAUCAUUACACCUUCCAAGGUAGGAACAUGAAGGGAAUUAUGUACUUAAGCUUGUUUCUUUUUAUCACAGGUAAUACAGUGUAUAGAAUUUGCAUAUGUCCUUUUCAUUUUUCUUUAUGUGUGCUGGUGAAGAUCACAGUCUUCCAGGAUGUGAUUCCAUGUAGUUUGCAAUGAAAGGACCAACAUUUCAGAUGAACCUGGUGUGUCUAUUUUCCCUUUGUACACUUAAGAUUUAGGCAACAAGAGUAUACCAGACAACAUGGUGUCACAUUCCACAAGACUAAUUUUUAUAUUCACAGCAAUGAGAGCCUCAAAUUCUCAAUAUUUUUUGAGAGCAUAUUACAGUGUAACAUGUUCUGUCUACUGAAGACUUUUCCAGAUUGUUAAUCGGUUUUAUUAACAACCUAUAAGUCUUAAUUACAAUUAAUUAUAAUACUGUUGUGGGUUUACACAAUUUACAAACCCUAAACACUAAUCUCUUCACAUUAUCUUCAGCAGUCUUCACUUAUUUACAGUAUAACACGGGAGCUAUACAAGUGUGACUGAAUUACACGCUCCAAAUACCUUCUCAGCUAUUACAAACUAUCACUGAUUAUCACACAUAAAAUCUUAUAAUCACGCGUUCAGUUCUUCCCGUGACUGACUGACUGACUUCUGUUCUGCUGAAUACUAACUGCUCCUUAGUCGAGUUAAAACCACAUUGCGUUUACAGAGGCGUUGCUUCAUAAUGCUGCCAAGAGUUUUUUUAUUGCUGCAUAGUGAUCAGUGUGGUUCAGCAUGGCAUGGAGAAACCACUUUAUUUCCUGUUGCGUAACUUGGCAACCGUCUGUUUUGAUGGAAACUCUUCCCACAUCAUGUUGCGCAACAAUGGUUUGACGUGUCACAAUAUCUUGUACCGUAAUGACUGUUAGAGACAGUUAACAGGAACCCUUUUCUCACUUACUUUAAGAUUUGAUUGCUUUUCUCAGUUCAAGGAACAUAAAUGUAUUAAUUUUUAUGAAAAUACAAUUCCUUCUCCCUCUCUCUAACAUUUAACAAGAAAUUAACCACAUAUAUAACCUGUUAAACUGACUGCCAUGAAAUGCAUGUAUUUCGGUCUUAAUCUAUAUAAAAUCCUUUGACUGUUGUGCUAAAUUCUGAGGCAAGGUACAAUGUUCUUUAGUCUCCUCAUUUUUGUGACAUCCUGAAAGAGCAGCCAGUUAAUGUCUUACUGACACACAUGUACACUCCCCUCCCCACAGUAUUAAUCCCAGAUUUUAUAUGGUAAAUGAAGUUAACUCAUAUGAAUAUGUAUGUGAGUUUUGAAUGAUCACUCAAAAUCUAAAUACGUGUAUACAAGAAAAAUUAUAAUCAGAAUAUCUAAAUUGUAUGUAAAACUGUUACUGUAUUUGUGAGAUUUGAGGCUCUAACAGAAGUGACUGUAAACCCUGUGUGUAAUCUACUAUGUCUUUACCUGCAUUUUGGAAGAAGACUGCAGUCUUGAAAAUAAUUUUAUAUGUAACACUAUGGGGAGCACGUGGUUGCAUAGUUGGUUGAGGGGCUAUGCUACAAGCCAGAAGGUCGCGGGUUCAAAUCCCAAG
This is a long non-coding RNA of Cryptotermes secundus, 2350 nucleotides long. RefSeq lists it as uncharacterized. The transcript is spliced from 3 exons. Lineage: Eukaryota; Metazoa; Arthropoda; Insecta; Blattodea; Kalotermitidae. The record is from RefSeq and is a predicted model, not a curated record.